CGCACCACGUCUCUGAUGUAAUGCAACAGCAAGCAUACGCUAGUCACAUCUGAACACACACACACACAUGCAUACAUACAUAUAUAUGUGCGCGUGCACAGUUGGCGAAUGUUCUCGGUAACGCGUCUCUUCUUCCCCCACCCGAUUUCUGUGCACACGCGCACGAUGCACGGUGGUGCAUGCCCAGGGAGCGCAGACAUGCGCUGAGAAAGAGACUGCGCGACAUGGGGAAGAAACGGAGGUAGGCAGGCGGUGUACGUGUACGUGUGUGUGUAUAGGCUCAGCAUACAUAUUAUAUUGACUCGUUUUGCGUGAUGUGGGAGUCGUCCCCUUCCUUUUUUGUUUUUUUUUCCAUUCGAGCCUUCGGUGCUCUCUCUCUCGCGCGUGCUGGGGUCUCCCUGUGCGCGUCGCUGCCUUCACCUCUGUAUACUACCUUGUGGACCUUGAACUGCCGCUGCCAAGGUCGUGCACCGAUCGGUCGCGGUGACGAAAC
Molecule: unclassified non-coding RNA, 493 nt
Filed under: Leishmania donovani
Lineage: Eukaryota; Euglenozoa; Kinetoplastea; Trypanosomatida; Trypanosomatidae
Description: gene:unknown
Source: RNAcentral